Molecule: long non-coding RNA, 390 nt
Organism: Caretta caretta (loggerhead turtle)
Lineage: Eukaryota; Metazoa; Chordata; Testudines; Cheloniidae
Source: RefSeq, a predicted model, not a curated record
UACUCACAGCUCUCCAGCUGCAUGGUGCACGUCUGGAUGUCCAUGGGGAAGUUCUUGAGAUCCAUGGGGCAAGAGAGGAUCAGCGUCAGCCUGGGAGGAGCAGAAAGAAUGGAGCAGGUUGUCUGAGCCUACAGCAUUUGGAUAAGCCCUUCCCGCCCUUUGUCUUCCAAAGCAGACCUGGGACUCAGAGGCCAAGUUGUAAGAUGAGGCACCACCACAGGACCGGAGUGACCAGUGGCAGGGGAUGCUGGAGAGGAAAAGGAUGCUACACCAUGUCCAGCCAGGCCAGGGGGUGCCUGCGGUAGCCAGAAUCUUCUCCUCUCCUGCCUUCCCUGCUCACCUCAUUUCUCCCUGCCCCGUGCAUACCUGAUGCUGUAGAGCACGUUGCCA